Molecule: small nucleolar RNA, 75 nt
Organism: Cannabis sativa
Lineage: Eukaryota; Viridiplantae; Streptophyta; Magnoliopsida; Rosales; Cannabaceae
Product: small nucleolar RNA SNORD18
Exons: 1
Source: RefSeq, a predicted model, not a curated record
UAGAUGUGAUGAUUAACAAUUGGUCCGUGUUUCUGAUUUUACCGUGACCGACAACCCUUAACCACUUCUGAUCUA